GCUGGGUGUGGUGGUGCAUGCCUGUAAUCCCAGCUACUCAGGAGGCUGAGGCAAGAGAAUCGCUUGAACCUGGGAGGCGGAGGUUGCAGUGAGCCAAGAUCAUGCCACUGCACUCCAGCCUGGGUGACAGAGUGAGACUUUGUCUCAC
Pongo abelii (Sumatran orangutan) is the source of this 148-nucleotide unclassified non-coding RNA. It matches the Rfam family "Metazoan signal recognition particle RNA". Rfam says of the family: The signal recognition particle (SRP) is a universally conserved ribonucleoprotein. NCBI's taxonomy places the organism in Eukaryota, Metazoa, Chordata, Mammalia, Primates, Hominidae. The record is from Ensembl.